RNAcentral lists this small RNA (172 nucleotides) under Enterococcus pallens ATCC BAA-351. RNAcentral's name for it is "Listeria sRNA rli28". The stretch from base 31 to 172 matches the Rfam family "Listeria sRNA rli28", at positions 31 to 186 of the family's 186-position model. Lineage: Bacteria; Bacillati; Bacillota; Bacilli; Lactobacillales; Enterococcaceae. The record is from Rfam by way of RNAcentral.
CUUAGUAGGCUACCUAUCGCAAUACUUAGCAGUGUUUAUGGCGGUGGCUGAGCUCUAUAGAAGGGAGUGUUGCUUAUGUUCAUCCUAGGAAAGGGACUUCCGCCAUGACUGUGUAUCAGGCGUUGACAUUGGCAAUUGCCUUUGCGACCUUGAUCAUCACCAUUGAUCGACA